Molecule: ribosomal RNA, 2903 nt
Filed under: Escherichia coli
Lineage: Bacteria; Pseudomonadati; Pseudomonadota; Gammaproteobacteria; Enterobacterales; Enterobacteriaceae
Description: 23S ribosomal RNA
Rfam family: Bacterial large subunit ribosomal RNA
Source: RNAcentral
GGUUAAGCGACUAAGCGUACACGGUGGAUGCCCUGGCAGUCAGAGGCGAUGAAGGACGUGCUAAUCUGCGAUAAGCGUCGGUAAGGUGAUAUGAACCGUUAUAACCGGCGAUUUCCGAAUGGGGAAACCCAGUGUGUUUCGACACACUAUCAUUAACUGAAUCCAUAGGUUAAUGAGGCGAACCGGGGGAACUGAAACAUCUAAGUACCCCGAGGAAAAGAAAUCAACCGAGAUUCCCCCAGUAGCGGCGAGCGAACGGGGAGCAGCCCAGAGCCUGAAUCAGUGUGUGUGUUAGUGGAAGCGUCUGGAAAGGCGUGCGAUACAGGGUGACAGCCCCGUACACAAAAAUGCACAUGCUGUGAGCUCGAUGAGUAGGGCGGGACACGUGGUAUCCUGUCUGAAUAUGGGGGGACCAUCCUCCAAGGCUAAAUACUCCUGACUGACCGAUAGUGAACCAGUACCGUGAGGGAAAGGCGAAAAGAACCCCGGCGAGGGGAGUGAAAAAGAACCUGAAACCGUGUACGUACAAGCAGUGGGAGCACGCUUAGGCGUGUGACUGCGUACCUUUUGUAUAAUGGGUCAGCGACUUAUAUUCUGUAGCAAGGUUAACCGAAUAGGGGAGCCGAAGGGAAACCGAGUCUUAACUGGGCGUUAAGUUGCAGGGUAUAGACCCGAAACCCGGUGAUCUAGCCAUGGGCAGGUUGAAGGUUGGGUAACACUAACUGGAGGACCGAACCGACUAAUGUUGAAAAAUUAGCGGAUGACUUGUGGCUGGGGGUGAAAGGCCAAUCAAACCGGGAGAUAGCUGGUUCUCCCCGAAAGCUAUUUAGGUAGCGCCUCGUGAAUUCAUCUCCGGGGGUAGAGCACUGUUUCGGCAAGGGGGUCAUCCCGACUUACCAACCCGAUGCAAACUGCGAAUACCGGAGAAUGUUAUCACGGGAGACACACGGCGGGUGCUAACGUCCGUCGUGAAGAGGGAAACAACCCAGACCGCCAGCUAAGGUCCCAAAGUCAUGGUUAAGUGGGAAACGAUGUGGGAAGGCCCAGACAGCCAGGAUGUUGGCUUAGAAGCAGCCAUCAUUUAAAGAAAGCGUAAUAGCUCACUGGUCGAGUCGGCCUGCGCGGAAGAUGUAACGGGGCUAAACCAUGCACCGAAGCUGCGGCAGCGACACUAUGUGUUGUUGGGUAGGGGAGCGUUCUGUAAGCCUGUGAAGGUGUACUGUGAGGUAUGCUGGAGGUAUCAGAAGUGCGAAUGCUGACAUAAGUAACGAUAAAGCGGGUGAAAAGCCCGCUCGCCGGAAGACCAAGGGUUCCUGUCCAACGUUAAUCGGGGCAGGGUGAGUCGACCCCUAAGGCGAGGCCGAAAGGCGUAGUCGAUGGGAAACAGGUUAAUAUUCCUGUACUUGGUGUUACUGCGAAGGGGGGACGGAGAAGGCUAUGUUGGCCGGGCGACGGUUGUCCCGGUUUAAGCGUGUAGGCUGGUUUUCCAGGCAAAUCCGGAAAAUCAAGGCUGAGGCGUGAUGACGAGGCACUACGGUGCUGAAGCAACAAAUGCCCUGCUUCCAGGAAAAGCCUCUAAGCAUCAGGUAACAUCAAAUCGUACCCCAAACCGACACAGGUGGUCAGGUAGAGAAUACCAAGGCGCUUGAGAGAACUCGGGUGAAGGAACUAGGCAAAAUGGUGCCGUAACUUCGGGAGAAGGCACGCUGAUAUGUAGGUGAAGUCCCUCGCGGAUGGAGCUGAAAUCAGUCGAAGAUACCAGCUGGCUGCAACUGUUUAUUAAAAACACAGCACUGUGCAAACACGAAAGUGGACGUAUACGGUGUGACGCCUGCCCGGUGCCGGAAGGUUAAUUGAUGGGGUCAGCGCAAGCGAAGCUCUUGAUCGAAGCCCCGGUAAACGGCGGCCGUAACUAUAACGGUCCUAAGGUAGCGAAAUUCCUUGUCGGGUAAGUUCCGACCUGCACGAAUGGCGUAAUGAUGGCCAGGCUGUCUCCACCCGAGACUCAGUGAAAUUGAACUCGCUGUGAAGAUGCAGUGUACCCGCGGCAAGACGGAAAGACCCCGUGAACCUUUACUAUAGCUUGACACUGAACAUUGAGCCUUGAUGUGUAGGAUAGGUGGGAGGCUUUGAAGUGUGGACGCCAGUCUGCAUGGAGCCGACCUUGAAAUACCACCCUUUAAUGUUUGAUGUUCUAACGUUGACCCGUAAUCCGGGUUGCGGACAGUGUCUGGUGGGUAGUUUGACUGGGGCGGUCUCCUCCUAAAGAGUAACGGAGGAGCACGAAGGUUGGCUAAUCCUGGUCGGACAUCAGGAGGUUAGUGCAAUGGCAUAAGCCAGCUUGACUGCGAGCGUGACGGCGCGAGCAGGUGCGAAAGCAGGUCAUAGUGAUCCGGUGGUUCUGAAUGGAAGGGCCAUCGCUCAACGGAUAAAAGGUACUCCGGGGAUAACAGGCUGAUACCGCCCAAGAGUUCAUAUCGACGGCGGUGUUUGGCACCUCGAUGUCGGCUCAUCACAUCCUGGGGCUGAAGUAGGUCCCAAGGGUAUGGCUGUUCGCCAUUUAAAGUGGUACGCGAGCUGGGUUUAGAACGUCGUGAGACAGUUCGGUCCCUAUCUGCCGUGGGCGCUGGAGAACUGAGGGGGGCUGCUCCUAGUACGAGAGGACCGGAGUGGACGCAUCACUGGUGUUCGGGUUGUCAUGCCAAUGGCACUGCCCGGUAGCUAAAUGCGGAAGAGAUAAGUGCUGAAAGCAUCUAAGCACGAAACUUGCCCCGAGAUGAGUUCUCCCUGACUCCUUGAGAGUCCUGAAGGAACGUUGAAGACGACGACGUUGAUAGGCCGGAUGUGUAAGCGCAGCGAUGCGUUGAGCUAACCGGUACUAAUGAACCGUGAGGCUUAACCUU